This 253-nucleotide ribosomal RNA is filed under the name uncultured bacterium. Its description in RNAcentral is "partial 16S ribosomal RNA". It matches the Rfam family "Bacterial small subunit ribosomal RNA", at positions 524 to 776 of the family's 1533-position model. The record is from RNAcentral.
UACGAAGGGGGCUAGCGUUGCUCGGAAUCACUGGGCGUAAAGCGCGUGUAGGCGGCCCACUAAGUCUGAUGUGAAAGCCCGGGGCUCACCCCCGGAAGUGCAUUGGAAACUGGUGGACUCGAGUCCCGGAGAGGAGAGUGGAAUUCCUGGUGUAGCGGUGAAAUGCGUAGAUAUCAGGAGGAACACCGGUGGCGAAGGCGGGUCUCUGGGCCGAUACUGACGCUGAGGAGCGAAAGCGUGGGGAGCGAACAGG